CCUAUCCCGAAGAGUGGUGCUGCCGGAAGUCUCCGACCCCGCCUUCUCCAGCGCGGCGGAGGGCGCCGCAGGAGCACCGAGAAGGGCGGAGGGAGAAAAGGAGGGGACUACGGUAUCGGUAGUGGUCCAAACCCUGUCCUUCCACCGCGUUGCAGAGCCACGACUGCCUUCGGAUGGCAAGGUGCCGAGCGGGAUUCGAGGAGGGUGGAGGAGGGGUAAGGAACACCGCUCGGUGGACGCCCGGCCCAGUGAAACCUCUUUUCCAAGCAAGCAGCCUUUCCAGGGCUGACAGGAAAAAGGUUCAAUAAGCGAGGCUGAAAAAAAUGGAGAGUCUGAUCUUCAAAUUCACAUGGAAUUUCAAGGGACCCACAAAUAGCCAAAACAACCUUGAAAAAAGAAGAACACAUUUGGAGGACACACACUUCUUGAUUUCAGAACCUACUAUAAAAUUACAGCAAUCAGAACUGUAGUAAAGCCAUAAGGAUAAACAUACAGACCAAUGGAAUAGAAUUAAGAGGCUAGAAAUAGGGCACCUGGGAAGCUCAGUCGGUUAAGCGUCUGACUCUUGAUUUCGACUCCGGUCAUGAUCUCAUGAUUCGUGGGAUCAAGCACGCUGUCAGUGCAGAGCCUGCUUGGGAUUCUCUCACUCUCCCCCUUCUCUGCCCCUCCUUCUCGAGUGUGCUCUCUCUC
Long non-coding RNA from Acinonyx jubatus (cheetah), 690 nucleotides. RefSeq lists it as uncharacterized. The transcript is spliced from 2 exons. The record is from RefSeq and is a predicted model, not a curated record. NCBI's taxonomy places the organism in Eukaryota, Metazoa, Chordata, Mammalia, Carnivora, Felidae.